AUACUGCAGGUCUUGAGUCAUGGUGGGGUUGCCGGAACAUGUGGUGUAGCGGUGAAAUGCAUAGAUAUCACAUAGAACACCGAUCGCGAAGGCAGGUGACCAACCAUGUACUGACGCUGAUGGACGAAAGCGUGGGUAGCGAACGGGAUUAGAUACCCCGGUAGUCCACGCCGUAAACGAUGGAUACUAGCUGUGGGGACUUCGGUCUCCGUGGCCAAGCGAAAGUGAUAAGUAUCCCACCUGGGGAGUACGUUCGCAAGAAUGAAACUCAAAGGAAUUGACGGGGGCCCGCACAAGCGGUGGAGCAUGUGGUUUAAUUCGAUGAUACGCGAGGAACCUUACCAGGGCUUAAAUGCAGGCUGCAUGGGGUAGAGAUACCCCUUUCUUCGGACCGCCUGCAAGGUGCUGCAUGGUUGUCGUCAGCUCGUGCCGUGAGGUGUCAGGUUAAGUCCUAUAACGAGCGCAACCCCUACCGUUAGUUGCCAGCAUGUCAAGAUGGGGACUCUAACGGGACUGCCGGUGCAAACCGUGAGGAAGGUGGGGACGACGUCAAAUCAUCACGGCCCUUACGUCCUGGGCUACACACGUGCUACAAUGGCCGGUACAGAGGGAAGCCACCCCGCAAGGGGGCGCGGAUCUACAAAACCGGUCACAGUUCGGAUCGGGGUCUGCAACUCGACCCCGUGAAGCUGGAAUCGCUAGUAAUCGGAUAUCAGCCAUGAUCCGGUGAAUACGUUCCCGGGCCUUGUACACACCGCCCGUCAAGCCAUGGAAGCCGGGAGUGCCUGAAGUCCGUCACCGAGAGGAG
This 808-nucleotide ribosomal RNA is filed under the name Flagellimonas marinaquae. Its description in RNAcentral is "bacterial SSU rRNA". It matches the Rfam family "Bacterial small subunit ribosomal RNA", at positions 630 to 1452 of the family's 1533-position model. The record is from RNAcentral. Lineage: Bacteria; Pseudomonadati; Bacteroidota; Flavobacteriia; Flavobacteriales; Flavobacteriaceae.